GGUGUGAGUGAUCUUUUGACCUACGGUGCCAUUAGCUAUUCGAAGCGAGGCUAGUGGGUUUGACUGCACAUUCUCUUGAUCCUUAGCCAUUCAGAUCCUUGUUGUAUAUGUUGGCUUCAGUAGGUUCAGGUUCACUGUUUGGAGUAGGAUGCAUCUAGAUGGAAUCUAUCGAUCUUGAUAGAAAAGGAGAAGUCAUAUGCGAUUUACGAGACUGAGUUCAGAAAAUUUUUGGCCAAAGCAAAUAUGAAUACUAGAAAAGA
Molecule: long non-coding RNA, 260 nt
Filed under: Elaeis guineensis (African oil palm)
Lineage: Eukaryota; Viridiplantae; Streptophyta; Magnoliopsida; Arecales; Arecaceae
Description: long non-coding RNA (EGUI_LNC042229)
Source: RNAcentral